CGGGGUAUAGCGCAGCCUGGUAGCGCAUCUGGUUUGGGACCAGAGGGUCCGGUGUUCGAAUCACCGUACCCCGACCA
RNAcentral lists this transfer RNA (77 nucleotides) under Gammaproteobacteria bacterium. RNAcentral describes it as "tRNA-Pro". It matches the Rfam family "tRNA". From Rfam's summary of the family: Transfer RNA (tRNA) molecules are approximately 80 nucleotides in length. Lineage: Bacteria; Pseudomonadati; Pseudomonadota; Gammaproteobacteria. The record is from RNAcentral.